AAUUAAGAUCGCUCGCGAUGGGUAUCGGGAUUCAUCCAAUUGGACGAAAAACGUGGACACACAAGCACAUGUGAAUCGGCGGAUAUAAGAUAUCUGUCUCCGAUUAAAUCGCACUCUCGACGAUUGAGAGCGAGGGGAAGGAGGAUCCUCGACCUUGGAGCCCGAGUUUCCGGCAGCUUUCAUCCAUUACGAGACGGCCCACGCAGCUCAAGAGAGAGAGAGAGAGAGAGAGAAGGAGGGAUGUUCGAUCGACGUAUCUCUUCGGCGCGAGGAUACGAGGCGCAUACGCACGGCAGAUCGCAGGCGCACAAGUGUAACGUGUACGGCCAUCGAGUGGAACCGAGCGGAACCAGAUAUUCUGAUUCGUCAGGAACGGACCUGAGACAGCCGACAUAUCCGGAAGGAGUACGAAAUUGAAGAGAUUUCUGCGCUAGUCGUCUCUUGGUAAACGAGAUAGCGGCCAUGCGACAAAGAACACGUCGGGGAAUUAUACUUGUUCGACGGACUACUCAAUUUCCUGUCUGCGAAAUGACUCGGCGGAUUCGAUUCUUUCCGAGAGAUUCAACUCGUUUUCAUCAUUGCUGCCAAUUGGAAGGCACCCCGCUCUCCUCGGGAUCGACGGGAACGCUUCGAUGGUUUAUCCUCCUACGACACAGGUGAAAACGUAAUUAAGGAUCCCGCUUAUUAAAGCGCGUUUGCGCUCGCCGCAUAAAGGGCCUACGCGAGCGAGAGGCGAAAUAACCCCGGCUCCAUGGGUGGCACGGUUAGCAGCCCAUCCAUUUUUCUGACUGCUUGUUGUUUCGCGCCGGGGGUCCCGAGCUCCUUCAAUCCUCGAGCCUCCCGGAUCCACCCUAUAAAAACCUCUCGCUCCCGCUACAUCCCGUUCCGAAUCCGCGAGGGCAGCGUCCAUAAAAUGCCCUCCGGAAAUCGCUCGCUCUCGGAAAAAUUAUCCUCCCAUC
Camponotus floridanus (Florida carpenter ant) is the source of this 959-nucleotide long non-coding RNA. RefSeq lists it as uncharacterized. The record is from RefSeq and is a predicted model, not a curated record. NCBI's taxonomy places the organism in Eukaryota, Metazoa, Arthropoda, Insecta, Hymenoptera, Formicidae. The transcript has 5 exons.